This 93-nucleotide small RNA is filed under the name Arabidopsis thaliana (thale cress). Its description in RNAcentral is "ATSL280570". The record is from RNAcentral. Lineage: Eukaryota; Viridiplantae; Streptophyta; Magnoliopsida; Brassicales; Brassicaceae.
GACGAGUAGAGUCUUACAACCGCCAUUCUGCCCGAAUAAAAUGUCAGUGUCCAAUCUAUCACCAACCAUGCAUAUCUGUGACUUUUGGAUUCC